RNAcentral lists this ribosomal RNA (497 nucleotides) under uncultured bacterium. RNAcentral describes it as "partial 16S ribosomal RNA". It matches the Rfam family "Bacterial small subunit ribosomal RNA", at positions 28 to 507 of the family's 1533-position model. The record is from RNAcentral.
GAUGAACGCUGGCGGCGUGCCUAAUACAUGCAAGUCGAGCGAACGGACGAGGAGCUUGCUUCUCUGAUGUUAGCGGCGGACGGGUGAGUAACACGUGGAUAACCUACCUAUAUGACUGGGAUAACUUCGGGAAACCGUAGCUAAUACCGGAUAAUAUUUUGAACCGCAUGGUUCAAAAGUGAAAGACGGUCUUGCUGUCACGUAUAGAUGGAUCCGGGCUGCAUUAGCUGGUUGGUAAGGUAACGGCUUACCAAGGCAACGAUGCAUAGCCGACCUGAGAGGGUGAUCGGCCACACUGGAACUGAGCCGCGGUCAAGACUCCUACGGGAGGCAGCAGUAGGGAAUCGUCCGCAAUGGGCGAAAGCCUGACGGAGCAACGCCGCGUGAGUGAUGAAGGUCUUCGGAUCGUAAAACUCUGUUAUUAGGGAAGAACAUAUGUGUAAGUAACUGUGCACAUCUUGACGGUACCUAAUCAGAAAGCCACGGCUAACUACGUG